CUACGGGGUGCUGCAGUGAGGAAUUUUGCGCAAUGGGGGAAGCCCUGACGCAGCAACGCCGCGUGAGCGAAGAAGGCCCUCGGGUCGUAAAGCUCUGUCAAGUGGGAAAAAAAUCUUUUGAUCAAUAGUCAAAAGACUUGAUGGUACCACUGGAGGAAGCACCGGCUAACUCCGUGCCAGCAGCCGCGGUAAUACGGAGGGUGCAAGCGUUGUUCGGAUUUACUGGGCGUAAAGAGCGUGUAGGCGGUUUAGCAAGUCAGAUGUGAAAGCCCUGGGCUCAACCCGGGAAGUGCAUUUGAAACUGCUUCACUAGAGUAUGGGAGAGGAGAGUGGAAUUCCUGGUGUAGAGGUGAAAUUCGUAGAUAUCAGGAGGAACACCCGUGGCGAAGGCGAUUCUCUGGACCAAUACUGACGCUGAGACGCGAAAGCGUGGGGAUCAAACAGGAUUAGAUACCCUAGUAGUC
Molecule: ribosomal RNA, 464 nt
Filed under: uncultured bacterium
Lineage: Bacteria
Description: partial 16S ribosomal RNA
Rfam family: Bacterial small subunit ribosomal RNA
Source: RNAcentral